RNAcentral lists this microRNA (23 nucleotides) under Scyliorhinus torazame (cloudy catshark). Its description in RNAcentral is "Sto-Mir-92-P2c_5p* (star (passenger))". Lineage: Eukaryota; Metazoa; Chordata; Chondrichthyes; Carcharhiniformes; Scyliorhinidae. The record is from RNAcentral.
CAGGUGGAUCACUCUGCAAUUUU